Molecule: ribosomal RNA, 252 nt
Filed under: uncultured bacterium
Lineage: Bacteria
Description: partial 16S ribosomal RNA
Rfam family: Bacterial small subunit ribosomal RNA
Source: RNAcentral
UACGGAGGGGGCUAGCGUUGUUCGGAAUUACUGGGCGUAAGCGCGCGUAGGCGGACCUGCAAGUCGGGGGUGAAAGCCCGAGGCUCAACCUCGGAACUGCCUUCGAUACUGCGGGUCUCGAGUCCGGGAGAGGUGAGUGGAAUUCUCGGUGUAGCAGUGAAAUGCGUAGAUAUCGAGAGGAACACCAGUGGCGAAGGCGAGUCCCUGGACAACUUCUGACGCUGAGGCACGAAAGCUAGGGGAGCAAACAGG